ACUGGGCGUGGUGGCACAUGCCUGUAAUCCUAGCUACUUGGGAGGCUAAGGCAGGAUAAUCACUUGAAUCCAGGAGGCAGAGGUUGCAGUGAGCCGAGAUUGCGCCAUUGCACUCCAGCCUGGGCAACGAGGUGAAACAGUAUCUCAAAAAAAAAAAAAAAAGUCUAGAAGCUGAUUUUUUUUUUCUUUUCUUCAAUUCACCUAACUGAAUGCGUGUUUUUUUCCCCCUAUAACGAGUUUGACACCAUAAGGUUUUUUUUUUUUUUAAUUUUUAAUUUUAUUACACUUUAAGUUCUAGGGUACAUGUGCACAACAUGCAGGUUUCAUACAUAGAUAAGUUUGUAUCUGCCUAUACAUACUACUAUUUACUUACCUCCUAUUGUGAACAACAGCACAGGUUUAUAAGAUGGUUGCCAGAAUUCAGGGCAUAUAAUCUGACCAUGGAAUAAGACAAGUUAAUUAUAAUUUGGUGGAUUGGAAUCAGAUACCCUAGCC
This 495-nucleotide long non-coding RNA is filed under the name Pan troglodytes (chimpanzee). RNAcentral's name for it is "long non-coding RNA NONPTRT003772". The record is from RNAcentral. Lineage: Eukaryota; Metazoa; Chordata; Mammalia; Primates; Hominidae.